AGCAGUCGCCGCGGUAAUACGAAGGGUGCAAGCGUUAAUCGGAAUUACUGGGCGUAAAGCGUGCGUAGGCGGUUUGUUAAGUCUGCUGUGAAAUCCCCGGGCUCAACCUGGGAAUGGCAGUGGAUACUGGCAAGCUAGAGUGUGUCAGAGGAUGGUGGAAUUCCCGGUGUAGCGGUGAAAUGCGUAGAGAUCGGGAGGAACAUCAGUGGCGAAGGCGGCCAUCUGGGACAACACUGACGCUGAGGCACGAAAGCGUGGGGAGCAAACAGGAUUAGAUACCCCCGUAGUCCCUGUCUCUUAUAC
This 303-nucleotide ribosomal RNA is filed under the name uncultured bacterium. RNAcentral describes it as "partial 16S ribosomal RNA". It matches the Rfam family "Bacterial small subunit ribosomal RNA", at positions 507 to 807 of the family's 1533-position model. The record is from RNAcentral.